This 371-nucleotide ribosomal RNA is filed under the name uncultured bacterium. RNAcentral's name for it is "bacterial SSU rRNA". It matches the Rfam family "Bacterial small subunit ribosomal RNA", at positions 527 to 896 of the family's 1533-position model. The record is from RNAcentral.
GUAGGGGGCGAGCGUUAUCCGGAGUUACUGGGCGUAAAGCGCCCGCAGGCGGUGAGGUACGUUUUGCGUGACAGCUGCUGGCUUAACGAGCAGAGGAUGCGAAAGACGGCCUGACUUGAGGGCCAGAGAGGGACCUGGAAUUCCGGGUGGAGCGGUGAAAUGCGUAGAGAUCCGGAGGAACACCAAAGGCGCAGGCAGGGUCCUGGCUGGUCACUGACGCUGAGGGGCGAAAGCUAGGGGAGCGAACGGGAUUAGAUACCCCGGUAGUCCUAGCCGUAAACGAUGACCACUAGGUGUGGGAGGUAUCGACCCCUUCCGUGCCGGAGCCAACGCACUAAGUGGUCCGCCUGGGGAGUACGGUCGCAAGAUUA